Molecule: ribosomal RNA, 644 nt
Filed under: uncultured bacterium
Lineage: Bacteria
Description: bacterial SSU rRNA
Rfam family: Bacterial small subunit ribosomal RNA
Source: RNAcentral
ACGGAAUUUACAUGAAGCCUAGCGAUUGUAAAUUUAGUGGCGGACGGGUGAGUAACGCGUGGGUAACCUGCCUUGUACUGGGGGACAACAGUUGGAAACGACUGCUAAUACCGCAUAAGCGCACAGCUUCGCAUGAAGCAGUGUGAAAAACUCCGGUGGUACAAGAUGGACCCGCGUCUGAUUAGCUGGUUGGUGAGGUAACGGCCCACCAAGGCGACGAUCAGUAGCCGGCCUGAGAGGGUGAACGGCCACAUUGGGACUGAGACACGGCCCAAACUCCUACGGGAGGCAGCAGUGGGGAAUAUUGCACAAUGGGGGAAACCCUGAUGCAGCAACGCCGCGUGAGUGAAGAAGUAUUUCGGUAUGUAAAGCUCUAUCAGCAGGAAAGAAAAUGACGGUACCUGACUAAGAAGCCCCGGCUAACUACGUGCCAGCAGCCGCGGUAAUACGUAGGGGGCAAGCGUUAUCCGGAUUUACUGGGUGUAAAGGGAGCGUAGACGGUUUUGCAAGUCUGAAGUGAAAGCCCGGGGCUUAACCCCGGGACUGCUUUGGAAACUGUAGGACUAGAGUGCAGGAGAGGUAAGUGGAAUUCCUAGUGUAGCGGUGAAAUGCGUAGAUAUUAGGAGGAACACCAGUGGCGAGGG